GCUGGAAUAGUUUAGUUGGUUAGAGUGUGUGAUUAUUAAUCACAAAGUUGGAAGCUCUAGCUCUCCUUUUAGCG
RNAcentral lists this transfer RNA (74 nucleotides) under Ipomoea nil (Japanese morning glory). It matches the Rfam family "tRNA". From Rfam's summary of the family: Transfer RNA (tRNA) molecules are approximately 80 nucleotides in length. The record is from Rfam by way of RNAcentral. Lineage: Eukaryota; Viridiplantae; Streptophyta; Magnoliopsida; Solanales; Convolvulaceae.